RNAcentral lists this ribosomal RNA (2595 nucleotides) under Triticum aestivum (bread wheat). RNAcentral describes it as "partial small subunit ribosomal RNA". Lineage: Eukaryota; Viridiplantae; Streptophyta; Magnoliopsida; Poales; Poaceae. The record is from RNAcentral.
AUGAAGAAACAAGGUGAACACAAGAAGAAAUACAAACGACGAAGGGUAGAAAAAGAACAAGACGAUACCAACAGCGAAGGUUCAGAUACCAAUGAUGACGACGAUGACAGGGAACAUGAUGCAGAUUUCAUUCCUACAGACGACGAUGAUGCCGAAGAGCAUGACACCGACGCAGAACAUGACGACGAUAACAAAUCAGGACAGAAGGACAGAAAGAGGAGAAAGACAUGCAGAAAAGAAUUGGCAGCACCAACAGUUGAUGAAGAACAACAAGAAACAGACGAAGAGAAAUGCCAAAUCAAGGCAGGGGCAGCAUUCGCUCAUGUCAAGAAAGCAUGGAGUUUACUUAAAGACCGUCACAGGCAAGAUAUUAGGACGGCAGGAUUUGGCAGCAUAGAGAACUGCAAAAUAACGGGCUCCAUCUGUAGACCACUUGCAGCACACAUCUACGACAACCUGGACAUAGAAAGCAUGACAAUAACCUUCGGUGAUGGUACCGAAGACAAGAAACUCAAGAUUACCAAGGAAGCUAUACACAAGGUGUUUGGAUACCCAAACGGCACGGAAAAGUCAGCACCAAGGCCAGCGAAGAGCCCAACUUCAAUGAAAAAACUGAUGUUAGACCUUGGCUUCAAAAUUACAAAUUUCAGGCCAAAAGAACUGUUCACGGAGCUAAAUGAAUUGGUGGAACUAGAUGACGAACAGUCAGACAGGAAAUCAAUUAAAAUAUUUUUCCUUAUUUUUUUCCACAACAUUGUUUGUAGGUCAAGCGCCGCUAUCUUCGCCCGACAAGCUAUAAUGGUAGAGGACAUGGACUAUCCAGAGAUGGCAAAGAUGGAUUUCUGUGAGGAACGUACCAAUAGCACGCCAGGCCAAGAUGAACUCCAACAGCAGGAUGGCAUCAACAACCCCAAAAACACGAAUGAACACAACAAACAAAGCAACCUCACAACAAACAAUGCUACAACAACAACUACCCCAACACAAGCACAAGAUACGAUCGACGUCAGAACCUGUGAAGAGGCUCAGCUGAAGAACAAUCAAGUCAGCAGCCCCGCCAACCAAAUGCAAGAGCCUAACCCACAAUCAACCAUUAGCAUAACAAACAACAAAGAAGAAGAAAACAACAAAGAGGAGGUAUCACAAGCACUGCAAGACCAAGAGACAACCCGUGUUGAAAUUGAACCCCAUAGUGAACCUCAAACAGACGAAAAUGUCACAGAACAGGAACUUUGUGUGCAAGAGAUUUCCAGCGCCACAACAUUGCAGAUCACCAUCACGAGUACAAAGGAGAAAGCGCAAGAUAUCCCAGCAGAUGAGAAACAAGAGACUGUUAUACCUAACAAAGAAACAGUAGAUGCAGGCACAAAUAACCCAGUCAUCAACACGGAGGAAACAAACGAGUACGCUGAUCUCAAAGAUCAAGAACUUCAAACAACAACAUCUGAAGAGGUGAGGAACAAGAAGCUCAAGAAACCAUCAACAAUCAAGACCAUCAAACACAACCAGAGGAGCCCAAUGAAGAACCCAAACAUAGAGAGGAGACCAAUGAGCAAAAGGAGGACACUGAAGAAGGGCACAAUGGAGAAAGGGGACAAAGAUAGUGAUUCCGUCAACAAAGCCAUCGAAGAGCUGUACAACGCUGUAUGCAAGCCAUGGACACAGAGAGAAAUGGAUGAGCUUUUCAUUACAAUGAACAAGUUUGAUGUCAAUCUAGGCCAUGUCGCCGAAAGUUUCAAGGUCGAUAUGCUGAAGUAUGAAGUUGAUAUGGGAGACAAGGAAAUGCAACAGACAGAAUGUUGCGUACUAGAAGAGUUUCCGCCAAAUCCCAAGCCAAAAGAACAUAUUAUGCAUGCGACAACCACAAAAGAGCAUGAAGUUAUUGAUAUAUCCAGCACUGAUUUAAAAGAGGAUGGCACAAGCAACGACGUACCAAAUACACAAGAACAGGUUUUCGAGCAGAAGAAACAACAUGUUCUUCUUCAAGAAGAAACAGGCUCGACAAGCAAUCAGCAACGCAUCUACAGCACCAUCUCUCUAGACUUCCUAAAACCCAAAACAAUGGAAAAGCACGACGAAGUUGAUGAAUUUCUUUCAAGCCUUAACCCGCUCCAACUAGAGCAAGAAUCAGGAGAACAUUCAAUGCCUCAAUCAUCUGAGGACAACUCAGACAAGAAAAUCUUGGUCAAGAAGAGACCGGGUACCCAAUGCGGACACUUCAUGGUUCAAUUUGCAAAAUACUGGAAUGACAUUGAUCUCAUAAAAGAUGAUGAGGAUUUCGAUGUACCUAGGUUUAAAGAAGUCUUCAACACCAUACUAGGACAAACAAUGACUGCCAAGGGUACAAGAUGGCAGAUUCAUACCGUGCAAGAUGUUUCAGUGGUAGAAAAGGGAGAAUCAACAUUUGCUGUUUUAAAGCUUGCAUUCAUCUACAAUGGUGAAAAGUUUGUCGAAGACCUGGAAGAUUUGACAGAUGAGGUCAAAGACUGGAGGGCAGAGGCAAUGUACAUUCUCUUAAGUAGCGAGAUGAAUCAAGUCAAAGCUAGUGAAAUGGGUGACAAGAUUAGCAAGAUCUUGAGCAAAAAUGAAGACUAA